CCCAUUAAUCAGCAAAAACAGAAGCGGAGCUGUGGCCCGAGUGGUAGAGUGCCAGCCUUGAGCAAAUAAGCUAAGAGGCAAUCGCCUUUAGUCUGCUUUAUUUAGAGUCAAGGAGAAAUGGGCUGUACCUGGAGAUGUGGGAUCUAACAAGAAGUUUUGAUUUCUGCUAAGCUAAGAAGAGAUAAUGACCCAACUCCAACCUUCCUUUGAUGCAACUGGUCCAGAGUCGGUGUAACUAAUUGCUAGAGGUGUUGGAAAUCUCUGCCUGUGUGUGCAAUGUAAAAUUGUAUUUUCAGUGUAUUGCAGUGUUUGUAGUAUUCUCAUGAACAACCUCUGUCCCUUGUCAGCACCACAACUGUCCUCUAGCCACCAUUACCUAUACAACAAUAAGACCUGACAUUUAUUAAAUGUUGCUAGGCACCAUUAUCUCCAUCUUCACCUUGGCUCUCUAAGGUAGAUGGUGUGAUUAGCCCUUGUAAACUAAACAGUUGUAGAAAAUGAAACUUACAGAGUUGUACCCCAGUGUCACAGCUCAGAAAUAUUACAGAAUGAAAAGCCAAAGUCCAUGUGGCCUCAAGGUUCUUGUCCUUAACAAGAAUUCUUCUAUAUCACCUUACAAAUGAGAGGUUUUACUGGUAAAAAUAGGUGCAUAUUUCCUUCCUAUUCUGAUUCAUUGUAAAGACUGCAUUUUGUCAAUAAUAAAAUAACUCAGCAGAAUGAAAAGAAUUCACAGCUCCAACAUCCUGUUGCAGCAACUGUUUUUAUUUCUCUUCAUUUCCUUUCGCUCCUUAUCCAUAUGUUCAUAUUUUACAUAGUCAUAGUUGCAAUUUUAUGUUCUGCUUUUUAUGCUUAAAACCUUAAGCAUGUUCCUUGUUGCUCUUUAGUCUGUAAUGGAUGCAUACUACUGGAUUUUGUAAAUGUGCUGUGAUUUUAUUAGCUAGACAACCACAAUGGAAAAACUUUCUAGGUUGCUUUUUGUUGUUGUUGUUUAGUUUUAUAAACUAUGAUGCAGAAAACUAGUUUAUUUCCCCUUCUCUCUUCUUUUGUCAGUUUUUUUAAAAGAAUAAAUUCCCUGGAAGUGAGAAUGGCAAACAAGAACUUGGACAUAUUUUAGGAGACUCUGUAUCUUUGAUCAUAGAAAUAAAUUUCAUAACUGGCAAGAAUAGAUUAAAUGCAUGAAUUAUUGCUUAGGGA
Dipodomys ordii (Ord's kangaroo rat) is the source of this 1194-nucleotide long non-coding RNA. RefSeq lists it as uncharacterized. The transcript is spliced from 3 exons. The record is from RefSeq and is a predicted model, not a curated record. NCBI's taxonomy places the organism in Eukaryota, Metazoa, Chordata, Mammalia, Rodentia, Heteromyidae.